Molecule: ribosomal RNA, 408 nt
Filed under: uncultured bacterium
Lineage: Bacteria
Description: partial 16S ribosomal RNA
Rfam family: Bacterial small subunit ribosomal RNA
Source: RNAcentral
GACGAACGCUGGCGGCGUGCUUAACACAUGCAAGUCGAACGAAGUGGCGAACGGGUGAGUAAUACGUGGGUAACCUGCCUUCAUUAUUGGGAUAAGCCUUGGAAACGGGGUCUAAUACCGAAUAACGGGGGAUGGGCUGGCGGCCUAUCAGCUUGUUGGUGGGGUGAUGGCCUACAAAGGCGGUGACGGGUAGCCGGCCUGAGAGGGUGACUGGGAACGAUGGGAGUUAGAUACGCCCCAGAGUCCUACGGGAGGGAGCAGUUGGGGAUAUGGCACAAUGGGCGAAAGCCUGAUGCGGCGACGCCGCGUGGGUUAUCAAGUCUUUCGGGUUGGUAACCUCUUUCGCUAUCGAACGGGUAGGUAGUGAAGAAGCGCCGGCUAACUACGUGCCAGCAGCCGCGGUAAUUC